Molecule: long non-coding RNA, 717 nt
Filed under: Physcomitrium patens
Lineage: Eukaryota; Viridiplantae; Streptophyta; Bryopsida; Funariales; Funariaceae
Description: long non-coding RNA (PPAT_LNC006904)
Source: RNAcentral
AAAGUAAAAAAUAACUGUUAAAUUUAAAUAAAUAAAUAAAUAAAUAAAUAAAUAAAUAUUCACACACAUACAUACAUGUGUUGUUUUCACUAACUGAUAUCACGUCUAUUACAUUCCAGAUGUAACCCUGCAAUGAGCUGAAAUGAUAGCCUUAAAACUAUUCAAGUUAAUUCCAUAUGCAAUCCACUGUACAAAUAUAUAUAUACACACAUAUACUAGUUAACACGUGUUACCGGAUCUCCCCCUUCAUGAACUGCUAAAAUCCAGGAUUAAAGCAAUGUUUUGAUUCGCUGAUUUGAAAACAUGAUCUCAGAUUUCAAGGAUAGCUUGGAUGAUAAGGUAGAAGCUCGAACAACAGAAGAAGACUGCGCUGGUCGUUGCGAAGCCUGUAGCGGCACUGAAACAGAUUGGGUAGGAACAGAUUCGGUGAUCCAGGAUCACGUUAAACCGACACAGAAACAGAACCCCUCACAUCGGAUUUGCAAUGAUCUCACAUAACGUUGCAAAAGGGAGAUCCCUCCGACCACAGGACCAUUCAACGUCAAGAAAUCUAGACAUUCUACACGGGUCUUGAAGCGAUGAGAAGCGAGGUCACGGCAAGUGCAAGGAGACCGAUUCGAACCUGCAGGUUCCGGUUCUGGUUCUCGUUCCGCGUCACGAGUCGAAGAUGAAGCGUGUCAGUGGGAAUGACGCGCCGGAAGUGAUCCAGCUAGGCCA